UGCAAAUGCUCAUCACAGUGUCUGGGGCAGUUCAGACACCAACAGUAGAGAUUAAAAUUCAAACGGACCCUAAACUUUUAACAGGCCUUUAAAUCCGUGUAAGAUUCGACUAAGUCCACUAAAGCUUGUAGAGUAAACUCUAGAGACUUUGGCGAGAAAUACCCCUUUUAAUUAUCCAUACAUCCACUUUGGGAAACGAAAUGGAAGAUCUGGACUUUAUGACGACUCAUAGGUUCUUUGGAAUUCAAAUGCCCUUGGGAAGAACGAACAGAAGGAACUAAAACACCACUAAGAUGCCAAAAAAAAAAAAUCGGUGAAAUUCAUGGAAUUGACAACUAUUUAAAAUGAAAUAACAACAAUUAUUUACAAUUUCAAUAUAUCAACAGGUACAUAUUAUACCUAUAUUAUAUAACAAAACAGAAGUUUCUGUACUAUCAAUCAUUUAUAUCCCUGCUCUGUGACAGUCUGCUUACGGAAUGAACAAAUAUAUAUUGGUCUUCCAAUCUGUAUUUUUUUAAUUGUCCUUUGAUAUCGGUUCUCUGUAAUACCGGACUCAGAAUUGUGUUAUUACCCUUAAGCUUUUAA
Molecule: long non-coding RNA, 585 nt
Organism: Lucilia cuprina (Australian sheep blowfly)
Lineage: Eukaryota; Metazoa; Arthropoda; Insecta; Diptera; Calliphoridae
Exons: 4
Source: RefSeq, a predicted model, not a curated record